RNAcentral lists this ribosomal RNA (439 nucleotides) under uncultured bacterium. RNAcentral's name for it is "partial 16S ribosomal RNA". It matches the Rfam family "Bacterial small subunit ribosomal RNA", at positions 339 to 795 of the family's 1533-position model. The record is from RNAcentral.
CUACGGGUCGCUGCAGUGAGGAAUAUUGCACAAUGGGGGGAACCCUGAUGCAGCAACGCCGCGUGGAGGAUGACGCAUUUCGGUGUGUAAACUCCUUUUAUAUGUCAAGAAAAUGACGGUAGCAUAUGAAUAAGCACCGGCUAACUCCGUGCCAGCAGCCGCGGUAAUACGGAGGGUGCAAGCGUUACUCGGAAUCACUGGGCGUAAAGGACGCGUAGGCGGGUUGGAAAGUCAGGUGUGAAAUCCUACAGCUUAACUGUAGAACUACACUUGAAACUUCUAAUCUAGAGUAUGGGAGGGGGAGAUGGAAUUAGUGGUGUAGGGGUAAAAUCCGUAGAUAUCACUGGGAAUACCUAAAGCGAAGGCGAUCUCCUGGAACAUUACUGACGCUAAGGCGUGAAAGCGUGGGGAGCAAACAGGAUUAGAUACCCCAGUAGUC